This 497-nucleotide ribosomal RNA is filed under the name uncultured bacterium. Its description in RNAcentral is "partial 16S ribosomal RNA". It matches the Rfam family "Bacterial small subunit ribosomal RNA", at positions 28 to 507 of the family's 1533-position model. The record is from RNAcentral.
GAUGAACGCUGGCGGCGUGCCUAAUACACGCAAGUCGAGCGAACAGACGAGGAGCUUGCUCCUCUGACGUUAGCGGCGGACGGGUGAGUAACACGUGGAUAACCUACCUAUAAGACUGGGAUAACUUCGGGAAACCGGAGCUAAUACCGGAUAAUAUAUUGAACCGCAUGGUUCAAUAGUGAAAGACGGUUUUGCUGUCACUUAUAGAUGGAUCCGCGCCGCAUUAGCUAGUUGGUAAGGUAACGGCUUACCAAGGCAACGAUGCGUAGCCGACCUGAGAGGGGGAUCGGCCACACUGGAACUGAGACACGGUCCAGACUCCUACGGGAGGCAGCAGUAGGGAAUCUUCCGCAAUGGGCGAAAGCCUGACGGAGCAACGCCGCGUGAGUGAUGAAGGUCUUCGGAUCGUAAAACUCUGUUAUUAGGGAAGAACAAAUGUGUAAGUAACUAUGCACGUCUUGACGGUACCUAAUCAGAAAGCCACGGCUAACUACGUG